CAGCAGCCACGGGAAUACGGAGGUUGCAAGCGUUAAUCGGAAUUACUGGGCGUAAAGCGCACGCAGGCGGUCUGUCAAGUCGGAUGUGAAAUCCCCGGGCUCAACCUGGGAACUGCAUUCGAAACUGGCAGGCUAGAGUCUUGUAGAGGGGGGUAGAAUUCCAGGUGUAGCGGUGAAAUGCGUAGAGAUCUGGAGGAAUACCGGUGGCGAAGGCGGCCCCCUGGACAAAGACUGACGCUCAGGUGCGAAAGCGUGGGGAGCAAACAGGAUUAGAUACCCGCGUAGUCCCUGUCUCUUAUAC
Molecule: ribosomal RNA, 301 nt
Filed under: uncultured bacterium
Lineage: Bacteria
Description: partial 16S ribosomal RNA
Rfam family: Bacterial small subunit ribosomal RNA
Source: RNAcentral